AAUCAACGCUGGCGGCGUGCCUCAGACAUGCAAGUCGAACGAUUAAAGCUCUCUUCGGAGAGUGUAUAAAGUGGCGCACGGGUGAGUAACACGUAAGUAAUCUACCUUCGAGUGGGGAAUAACGUCCGGAAACGGACGCUAAUACCGCAUAACGCAGCGGCAUCGCAAGAUGACAGUUGUUAAAGAUUUAUCGCUUGAAGAGGAGCUUGCGGCAGAUUAGCUGUUGGUAAGGUAACGGCUUACCAAGGCUACGAUCUGUAACCGGUCUAAGAGGACGGUCGGUCACACUGACACUGAAUAACGGGUCAGACUCCUACGGGAGGCAGCAGUCGGGAAUUUUGGGCAAUGGGGGAAACCCUGACCCAGCAACGCCGCGUGAAGGAUGAAGUAUUUCGGUAUGUAAACUUCGAAAGAAUAAGGAAGAAUUAAUGACGGUACUAUUUAUAAGGUCCGGCUAACUACGUGCCAGCCGCCG
This 475-nucleotide ribosomal RNA is filed under the name uncultured bacterium. RNAcentral describes it as "bacterial SSU rRNA". It matches the Rfam family "Bacterial small subunit ribosomal RNA", at positions 32 to 517 of the family's 1533-position model. The record is from RNAcentral.